This is a long non-coding RNA of Dioscorea cayenensis subsp. rotundata (Guinea yam), 2298 nucleotides long. RefSeq lists it as uncharacterized. The transcript is spliced from 3 exons. The record is from RefSeq and is a predicted model, not a curated record. NCBI's taxonomy places the organism in Eukaryota, Viridiplantae, Streptophyta, Magnoliopsida, Dioscoreales, Dioscoreaceae.
AUUAGGUUACCAAUAUAAUAACUAAAGCUUUGGAAUUCAGCACUGAUUCUAAAUUUUUAGUGUAGGUUUAUAUUGUGAAUGUAAAUUAUGUAGUUUGCUUCCUCUAAGUGGAUUGGAGCCUUGCCUUUAUGAUAAUUUGGAUGAUUCACUAUGAGUUUCAGGCUAUCGCUUAUGUAAUGUGCUCACUUCUGUUUAUUUAUAUUUGCUUUAAGUUGGUGGAUUGGUUUAUAGAAAGUCAGUUGAUUUGAAAGCAAAUUUAAUGACAGAAUUUUACUUUUAUGUCCUUUCAUCAAUAAUCUUCCUUUCCUUGUAUUUGCUCUCAAUCCAAACAUACUAAAUCCAAAAUCGAAUUCCUUGAAAACAGCAAGAAUCAUCCUGUGUUGAAAUGUUGCUUUCUCGAUUGAUUUUGGGAAGACACUCGCAACUAUUUCCUUGACAGAUCUCCAUCAAUGGAAUGAGAGCCAAGAAUCUGUCUCACAGUGAAAAUUAGUGGGGGACAUGGAACCUGAUGGCUCUUUUCAGGUAAGUUAAUUUUAGCUUUAAAUACCUUUUGUCUUUGUACAAUGUGCUGAGGACUCAAUGAACAGAAGGUUUAUUUUUAUUUUAACAAUAGCAUGCCCUUUUGAAUUCUUUGGAACAGAUAAUCCAUUGAGUACUUAAAUCCCUCCUUUUUUGUGUUCUAUAUCUAAGUACCUUGUACAGGGAGAUACAAAGAAUCUGUGCAUCACCCAAUUUAUUUCUUUCUCCUUUUGCCAAAAUUUAGUUUACCAAUGCUGAUUCUCAUUAUGCCGAUGAUGGAAACACAUUAAUUGUAUAUUUAUAUCACAAGAGUCUAUGUAUUUAGUCGAUAUCGAAUUGAAGCAACUAUUUAUUUAAUUUAUGGUAUAGACUUAUUAUAAAUGUAUGAAUUUGCUUUCAAUGAGUGUAGGAAUUCAUCAUCCUUAAAGAUGAAACACCUCUUUAUCACCCAUGGAGUCUCUUCCUUGCGUUGCUCCUCACGAUGAGUACUUUGUUCAAUGGCUGCUCUAUGUUCUUGGAAUUUAUGUUUCUUAUUAUAAACUGGCAUGAAUAUCGUUUUUUGAGGGCAGGCACCAGUUUUGGUACAUGGUGGUUGUACAAAGAGUGUGUGCUAUCAAAAAUUUAUGCCAGACAACAUGCGAAACUGCAUUCCCCAAUUGUCGUCCUGUAAUAGGCAAUUGUAUUGUUGCCAUUACUGGGGCAGCCUGCUCCUGCUCAUUCAACUGCUGAGUGGCAUGAAUAGUAGUAUAAUUAUCUUUCACUGUAAAAAGACCUUGUUGAGUUCUCUUGAUUCUUUGAAAUCCUAUACAAUUAUGUUUUGAAUUGCCAGCAUGUCGGCGAAAUAAGAAUGCUCACAGUUUUUAUCACUGGUGAUGAUGAUCAUCUUGCUUAUAAUUGUUUUGUUCUUAAGCUUUAGUGAGCGUGCUCUUAUACUGCUUAUUAUCAGAUUAUUGCCACUUUGAUGAUGCUCCAAAAGCAUAUAGUGAUUAAAAAAAAACUCAGAUCAAGUUAUCCUGCCAUUGGCUUCUCUAUUGUCAAUUUAACUGAGACCCCCUGUAGUUAAUGGGUUGAAGAUAGCAUGUAUUCGGAUAUCCAAUGACUUGCUUGAUUUCAUUGUAACUGGUUGAUAAAAUCUGGAAAGAGAUCCUGUCAAUAAGAAAAGUGUUAGCGGAUACCAUGUGAGGAAAUCAAAGGAGAAUAUUAAAUAUUACCUUGUAUAAUUCGUUGUAUUUGACAAUGUUCUAAUUUAUUUAUUUAUUUAUUUUUUUAUGGACAUUACUGACGAUUGACAAGAGAUUCAUCUCACAGGAGAUUUUUAUGAACUCGGUCUAUCUAGACCGAGCACAUAGUGAGUGGCUUUAAUUUUGAUAAUUCUCUGUAAUAUUGUCCAAAAUUUUCUUUGAAAUGCAUCAGUAUCACUCUACAAAUCCUCUGUGUAUCUUGAUUUUUUGAAGUAUGGAUUGUAACAGACCAAAUGAAGGUCUCGGGCAUCAUCGUUGGAGUCAUCUUUUGUUGUCUUGCUUUUAUCUGCACGUGCAGAGUAACAGGCUUGAAAUGUGAGGCAGCCGAUGUGAAUGAAUGUGUUAGAAUGUGUUAGAAUGUUAGGCUGCAAACAAAAUUUAUGCCAGACACAAUGCAAGCCUUCCAAAUGCCCUGUUCAGUUUCGGCCUCGUGCAUAGACGUUGGCCAUUGUAAGUGAACUCUCAAUUGCUAAUAACUAUGCCCGUUGCUCACUGUAUGUUUAAUAAAAGGUAUCUGUAAUCUUCUGUUGUUUCUUCA